UACGAGAGGUCCAAGCGUUAGUCGGAAUCACUGGGCUUAAAGGGUGCGUAGGCGGGCCAGAAAGCAUCUUGUGAAAUCCCUUCGCUCAACGGAGGAACCGCAGGGUGAACUGCUGGCCUAGAGGAACCUAGAGGCGGGCGGAACGAUAGGUGGAGCGGUGGAAUGCGUAGAUAUCUAUCGGAACGCCAAAGGUGAAGACAGCCCGCUGGGGGUUUCCUGACGCUGAGGCACGAAAGCGUGGGGAUCAAAC
This 250-nucleotide ribosomal RNA is filed under the name uncultured bacterium. RNAcentral's name for it is "partial 16S ribosomal RNA". It matches the Rfam family "Bacterial small subunit ribosomal RNA", at positions 524 to 773 of the family's 1533-position model. The record is from RNAcentral.